AGCAGGAUGGUGGCCGUCGAGGCUUCGGAUGCGGUCGACGCAGAUGAGAACAGUUCAUAGAGUCGUACCAGGUAUAGCUACUCUUCCUCUUCAAUCAAUAGCAGGCAAUUCUGUGUGUGGAGGUUGCAGCUCACACGGGUUUGUGGAGGUGUUGGCUCCAGUAUUUACCAGGGAUGUUUGUAGAUGUGUUGGCAUAUGAACCAAUACAUAAAUUGAUUGAUUGAUUGCUUAGCACAAUGCUGAUUAGACUAAAUAAUUAGUUGAUCGAAUUAUUUGCAUCUGACAUGUUGCACACAUAUAUCAGGCAGAACAAGUUGUUCCACGCAUGGGGUCUGAUUUAAAUAUUUUCGGAGAUGCAUAAUAUGCCAAACACUUCUAAAGGUGCCUCGUCCAUGGGCGCAUGAUAGUGGAAAAACAUCUGUAAAUUGUGCAGGAUCCUAUAGAGCAAAUGGGCAUCAUCGACGUGCAGUACACGCUCUCUUAGGCAGAUAAGUAACCUCAGACAACUUAUUUUGUGAAGACCGGUGGUUCAUGGUCUGGAAGUUUUGUUUUUCUCUCUAAAUUUUGUACUUAGAUAAUCCCUUAAAUGCUUUUUACUGCUUGAUCACAUAAUACAUGUCCGUGCAAGAAAGGAGUUGUUAAAAN
Molecule: long non-coding RNA, 645 nt
Filed under: Triticum aestivum (bread wheat)
Lineage: Eukaryota; Viridiplantae; Streptophyta; Magnoliopsida; Poales; Poaceae
Description: long non-coding RNA (TAES_LNC010692)
Source: RNAcentral